Molecule: microRNA, 20 nt
Filed under: Homo sapiens (human)
Lineage: Eukaryota; Metazoa; Chordata; Mammalia; Primates; Hominidae
Description: hsa-miR-7152-3p
Source: miRBase by way of RNAcentral
UCUGGUCCUGGACAGGAGGC